ACCCAUAGUACCCCAUUCCUUGCUGCAAUGUAAUUACAAGUGUGCUCCUGGUGGUCUUUAACUGAAGGGCACUGACUGGGUACUGGUGAAGUUCCCCGCAGGAACUGAGUCAGACCCCAUCUCAGGGCCCUGCAGAAGAUAGGUGCCUGCUCUAAGGCGUGGACCCUCGCGACAGCCCUGGCCCGUCUUGACGGGCGAGGGUUACUGUACUUGUCCCAAUCGUACAGAUGAGAAAGCUCAGACUCAGGGCCAGCAACCCCGGUCCCAGCGGAGCGCCCGGCACGCGCCGACACUUCAGCACCAGUCGCGGUGGCCACCACUGUGCGCGGAGAUGGCUGCGACGCGUGCGCAGAUCUCGAUCCCAAACUCCCUCCUGCCAGAAUCUGGACCCGAAUCCACCCAUUGCCCAUUUUCCGCUGCCGCUGGAGAGAAUCUCUGAGGUCCCCAGGACAGCCUGCCUGCACGGAAGAGAUGCCUCCUCAAUUAAAUGCUGUUUUCCAUGACCGUCUCUGUUCUUCCCAUACGCGAAUGGCAGGCAUCCAGAUCUCCAAGAAUAGAGGAUUAGGAGAGACUCCACCACCUAUGUCCUCACAGUUAAUUAUCGAUUUGUGUCACUUGCCCAUUUUCUCACUUCCUGUUUGUGUGUCAAGGAGUAUUAAUAAAUCUUUGCCUAUUUAAAGAUACUAGCCUUGGAUUUUCAAAUAUUGCAUAUUUUGACAUGUAAAAAUGUGUUAGUUUUAUUUUUUCAACCGAUCUGACCUGUAUAGUUGGGCUUGAGGAAGCUUCCUCAUUGUACAUGUUACUAUGGAUUUUCUAAUAUUAACACAGGGUUGUAUUUUUUCCAUAUAACUUUCUAUUGAAUUUCUUUUUCCAUAUGAUAGGUGGUGAAGGUUUAGCCCAGUAAAGCAGAGAGGUUAAGAGGUUAGACUGGGGGCUCUGGAGCCAGACCUAUGUAGAUCUGAGUCCUGGCUCUGGCACUUGAAAGCCGUGUGACCUUGGUUAAGAUACUUAGCCCCUCUCUGCCAAAUGGAGAAAUAAGGGCACCUACCCCGUAGGGUAGUUGUGUGAGUACACAAGUUAAUACACUUCAAUCACUAGCAAGAAAGUGAAUGUCAAGCUGUAUUUGUUCAGGCAGCCAUAUGGUAGCCCCACCUCAUUAGUAAACUGAGGUAUUGAAGUAUCUUCUUUUUCUUUCAGAAAAUAUUUGUCAAGCACCUUCUGUGUUCUAAGAACUGUUCUAGAGCUUUGCAUGCUAUGGAGGUCUAGAAAUUCACAUUAUGGUGGCAGGUGACAGACAAUACAAAGAGGUAAAGCAAUUUCAUAUAGUGAUAACCUAGGGAGGCGUGCUAAAAGGAGCCAAGGUGUAGUGGUGACUGGAAGGUGACCAGGGAAACCACUGUAGGGUUUCUAACUGAUGAGAUCUGUGACAAAUCCCUGUGGUCAGCAGCAGGCAUUGGAUAUGUAACUUUAUUCUGUCCCAUUGAUCUUGUAGUCAACCCUGGUCUGUUCUGUAUUGUUUUAAUUACAUAAUCUUUGUAAUAAUCUUUAA
Homo sapiens (human) is the source of this 1549-nucleotide long non-coding RNA. Ensembl annotates it as family with sequence similarity 88 member F. Its record names the gene FAM88F. NCBI's taxonomy places the organism in Eukaryota, Metazoa, Chordata, Mammalia, Primates, Hominidae. The record is from Ensembl.